UAUCUGUCAUCAAAACCACAAGGGACCUGGACCACUUCACAUUUGGUUGUUGAAUGAAGCUGUUCUUCGGUUACUAGAACUGCUGCACGACAGCUGAUCAGCUGUACAAUCAACUGAUAGAACCAGGAACAAUCACACGAUAGCAUAAAAUUCAUGAUUUCUUCACAGAGUUCAUCAAUACUUGUUGGGGCUGAGGAGUCAGUUAGCCAGGACUGCCUCGCCUGGAAAUAAAUUCAUGAAGUUAUGCUGCAUUUGAGGUCAAAAAGAAUAAUACUCUGGAAAAUCCUGGGCACCUCUAUCAAUGGCCUGGCUAGAGAGGCCUGGGAGAAGGUCCUGACUGGAAGGUGUCAAGGUUGAGCAGACAGGCCUGGUCCUUUCUUGGUAUGGAGGCUUUCGUUCAAAAGGACUGGAACUU
Molecule: long non-coding RNA, 415 nt
Filed under: Bos grunniens (domestic yak)
Lineage: Eukaryota; Metazoa; Chordata; Mammalia; Artiodactyla; Bovidae
Description: lncRNA (ENSBGRG00000007135.1)
Source: RNAcentral